CGUAAAUAAAGACGAAGAGAAUCAAACGAUCUCCUGUCAUUCUCAUAAGGAAACAAAGUCACGUGUCUGCAGCUCAGUGCAGCUUAAUGACAAACAACAGGAAGGAACAACGACACAACCUCGGUUUAAACUUCUGGGGGAAACGGACCGGCCGACGGGAGGGGGGCUGCUGACGCGCGCUCUGUAUCCGCGCUCUCUGCUGGUCAGCUGCAGCUUCACGCUGUGUGUUUCUCCGUCGCUCUGGAGACGCCGGCGGUUCACCACCACAACCACCAGAGGUCUCAGAUCCUGCAGAGGAGAGAGGACCACAGGCAUCAUCAAGUGUGGAGGAAACCUUUUUACGGAAGCAGUGAGAGAGAAGAGCACAGGUACUCCGUUACGCUCCAUUACAUCACUGCAACAACUUCUCACCUACAAACUCACCUCCGGACCAGACAAACUUCACACGACUGUACAGAGUGUA
Gasterosteus aculeatus aculeatus (three-spined stickleback) is the source of this 463-nucleotide long non-coding RNA. NCBI's taxonomy places the organism in Eukaryota, Metazoa, Chordata, Actinopteri, Perciformes, Gasterosteidae. The record is from Ensembl.